UUAAGAAUCCUGCGCAAUGGGCGAAAACCUGAUCCAGCCAUGCCGCGUGCAUGAUGAAGGCCUUCGGGUUGUAAAACUCUUUCGCGCCCGACGAUAAUGACGGUAGUGCGAGAAGAAGCUCCGGCUAACUUCGUGCCAGCAGCCGCGGUAAUACGAAGGGGGCUAGCGUUGUUCGGAAUUACUGGGCGUAAAGCGCGCGCAGGCGGUCUUCCAAGUCAGUGGUGAAAGCCCGGAGCUCAACUCCGGAACUGCCAUUGAAACUGUUGGACUUUAGUAUGAGAGAGGUGAGUGGAAUUCCCAGUGUAUAGGUGAAAUUCGUAGAGAUUGGGAAGAACACCGGUGGCGACGGCGGCUCACUGGCUCAUUACUGACGCUCAGGCGCGACAGCGUGGGGAUCAAACA
RNAcentral lists this ribosomal RNA (402 nucleotides) under uncultured bacterium. RNAcentral describes it as "bacterial SSU rRNA". It matches the Rfam family "Bacterial small subunit ribosomal RNA", at positions 355 to 774 of the family's 1533-position model. The record is from RNAcentral.